This 86-nucleotide non-coding RNA is filed under the name Vannella robusta. The record is from RNAcentral. Lineage: Eukaryota; Discosea; Flabellinia; Vannellidae.
UGUUGUUUCCAUUUCUUUUCUUUUCCUUUUGUAUCUUUUCCAUUCCAAUAAACAACCAGAAAGCAAUCAAAACAAGGAGGAAGUGC